Long non-coding RNA from Lagopus leucura (white-tailed ptarmigan), 440 nucleotides. RefSeq lists it as uncharacterized. The transcript is spliced from 4 exons. Lineage: Eukaryota; Metazoa; Chordata; Aves; Galliformes; Phasianidae. The record is from RefSeq and is a predicted model, not a curated record.
GACCAGAACGAUGUCGUGCAAGCCCGGAAAGUGUACGACCUGCAGAGUGAUAUUGUGUACAGGUCUGACCUGCAGUGGCUGAAAGGCAUUGGCUGGUCCCCAAUUGGGUCCCUGGAUGAAGAGAAGAACAAGCGAGCGAGCACGAUCCUGAGUGACAAGAAGUACCGGCAGCACCCGGACACCAUCAAGUUCACGAGCCUUCCUGACUCCAUGCCUAUGCUUCUGGCAAAGCACAACUCUGAAAUCAUGAACCACCGCUCGUACAUCGCAGCCUGGGAGAAAGACAAGACCAGCAUUCACAUUAUGCCAGAUACGCCUGGUAUUUUGCUGGCCCAGCAGAACAAAGUGAACUUCAGUGAGAAAAUGUACAGGCUGGCAAUGGAAGAAGACAAGAAGAAGGGCUAUGACCUGCGUGCAGAUGCCAUUCCCAUCAAGUCUGC